Molecule: ribosomal RNA, 252 nt
Filed under: Salmonella enterica
Lineage: Bacteria; Pseudomonadati; Pseudomonadota; Gammaproteobacteria; Enterobacterales; Enterobacteriaceae
Also listed under: 2 other names
Description: partial 23S ribosomal RNA
Rfam family: Bacterial large subunit ribosomal RNA
Source: RNAcentral
UAGUACGAGAGGACCGGAGUGGACGCAUCACUGGUGUUCGGGUUGUCAUGCCAAUGGCACUGCCCGGUAGCUAAAUGCGGAAGAGAUAAGUGCUGAAAGCAUCUAAGCACGAAACUUGCCCCGAGAUGAGUUCUCCCUGAGACUUAGAGUCUCCUGAAGGAACGUUGAAGACGACGACGUUGAUAGGCCGGGUGUGUAAGCGCAGCGAUGCGUUGAGCUAACCGGUACUAAUGAACCGUGAGGCUUAACCUU